GCCCAGGUGGCUCAGUCAGUUGAGCAUCUGACUUCAGCUCAGGUCAGGAUCUUAGUUUGUGGGUUUGAGCCCUGUGUUGGGCU
RNAcentral lists this transfer RNA (83 nucleotides) under Felis catus (domestic cat). It matches the Rfam family "tRNA". Rfam says of the family: Transfer RNA (tRNA) molecules are approximately 80 nucleotides in length. Lineage: Eukaryota; Metazoa; Chordata; Mammalia; Carnivora; Felidae. RNAcentral also lists the same sequence under 3 other names. The record is from Rfam by way of RNAcentral.